UACAAUCCUUCUCCAGCCUCUUUGCCAAACCGAAACAAUAACUCUGUUGAAAAAUAAAACAACUGAGAAUGUUUUGAAAAUAAAAUGUAUUUUUUAAAAAAAUUUGAAAAACACUGGAAGCUGGAAACCCUAGCGAUAUAAAAAAGUGAUAGCUCUGCCGUCGGGAAUUAGUGGGGUACUUUUUGUGGGACGUGCUAGGGAGAAGAGAGGAUCCGACGUCGAGAACGAGAGAAGUGAAAAAUGCUUGAAGCGGCCAGCCGGAACAUGUGGAUACGAAAACCAACCUGAGGGGAUCAUGAUGUACAUUCAUCCAUAGUUUUCAAUCUGAAUCUCUAUAUCGCCUGCUGCUGCUGCUCGUAUUUUCUCCUCUCUCGCUGUCUGUCUGUCUCUACAUCCCGCUCUUAAACCAACCCCCGGCCCUUGUGAUGACUGAUGAGAUUCUCUCAGCUCUGAAGAUGAACUAAGGAGGAGGGAACUACAAGAAGGACAAACUUUGAAUUUCAAGAAGGAGAGCUUCAACGCACCGUUUCAACAAGUCUGUAAUUUCAUCUCUUGAGCACGACUCCAAUCUGUACCAUUUCAUUAAAUCCCCUUACAUGUUAUCAGGGGUGCGCAAGGGGUACAUCAUUUUGAUUACGUUUAGAUUUUUCCGUUUAAAAUUAGGGAAAGUCAUUAUAGAUUUUCUUGUAAACAAUAUUUUCAUAGAACGGCUUUAAAAUCAACAAGAUGUCUGGAAUACAUAUGGAGGUGGUUGGGUGACU
Long non-coding RNA from Carya illinoinensis, 761 nucleotides. RefSeq lists it as uncharacterized. Lineage: Eukaryota; Viridiplantae; Streptophyta; Magnoliopsida; Fagales; Juglandaceae. The record is from RefSeq and is a predicted model, not a curated record. The transcript is spliced from 2 exons.